AAUUUUUUUUUUUUUUUUUCUUGAAUAUAUGCGCACACACAGGACAAGGAAGAGACACUCUUUGACAAAACUAUGACAAUUUUGUACGUCCAUGUAGUUCUUGAGUUUGUGAAAAGAACAAAAAAGACAAAAUACAUGUAUGAUCAAAGUCUUUAACCUUUGACUUUUGUUUAAACUUUGGCUUUAUGUUUGAUGCUGACAUUUUAGUGGAAAUUUCAGCAUGCCACAUAAGCGGUUAUUGACUUGCUUGUGCAAGCAAUGAUAAGUUGUUUGACUUACACAAGUUAAAAGAAUA
This 295-nucleotide unclassified non-coding RNA is filed under the name Hevea brasiliensis (rubber tree). Lineage: Eukaryota; Viridiplantae; Streptophyta; Magnoliopsida; Malpighiales; Euphorbiaceae. The record is from RNAcentral.